This 437-nucleotide ribosomal RNA is filed under the name uncultured Glomeromycotina. Its description in RNAcentral is "SSU rRNA". It matches the Rfam family "Eukaryotic small subunit ribosomal RNA", at positions 596 to 1037 of the family's 1831-position model. The record is from RNAcentral. Lineage: Eukaryota; Fungi; Glomeromycota.
AGCGUAUAUUAAAGUUGUUGCAGUUAAAAAGCUCGUAGUUGAAUUUCGGGAUCAAUAUGUCGGUCGUGCCUUCGGUACGUACUGGCAUCAUUGGUUUCUCCCUUCUGACAAACCAUGAUGUCAUUAAUUUGGUGUUAUGGGGAGUUAGGACUGUUACUUUGAAAAAAUUAGAGUGUUUAAAGCAGGCAUUAGCUUGAAUACAUUAGCAUGGAAUAAUGAAAUAGGACGUUUGACCCUAUUUUGUUGGUUUCUAGGAUCGACGUAAUGAUUAAUAGGGAUAGUUGGGGGCAUUAGUAUUCAAUUGUCAGAGGUGAAAUUCUUGGAUUUAUUGAAGACUAACUACUGCGAAAGCAUUUGCCAAGGAUGUUUUCAUUAAUCAAGAACGAAAGUUAGGGGAUCGAAGACGAUCAGGUACCGUCGUAGUCUUAACCAUAAAC